CAACUCGGCUGGCUUUGCCUCUCAACGCUAAAACUGUUUAGUUUAUCAACAGUAAAUAAUAGAAAAGAAAACUAUUUUCUCAGCGGACAACGUCAACCAAUAUUUCAUUGAAAAUUUGACUAAGAUAUUGCAAAUAUGAAUUAUCCGUUCCAUUCAGUUGCCUUAUCGUGCAUAGUUUUUGCGUACAUUUGGUACAUAGCUUUUCAGUGCUUUUUCAUUCCAUAUUAUUCUCUACAGUGCAGCGGUUGUGAGAGCUUUGGUAAUAUGAUACGGAGGUGUGCACAGUUACCACGUCGCUGCUUUUAUACCUACAAAGACUGUGUGCCCUUGUGCAGAGAGAGAUGCUAAAAGCAAAAUCAUUUAUGGAAUACAGAAAGCAUGCGGAAACGUUUUGAUUCACACACUUUUUGUGUGCUGCAUUUUAUGGGACUAUCAAAUAUUUUUGUGCUAUUACUAAAAAUUUCAAAAUAUAAUUCAGCAAUAACAAUAUAUGUGAGCACCUAUCAGGGCUCGAACCAGCUUACUGCCUUUAAGUUUGGUUUGUGAAUCUGAUUUGCCAUAUCCAUAGACCCAGUGUUUGCUUCAAACUUUUUUAAUGGUUGGGCUGAGUCCCCCUUAAAAGUUCUUUAUUGCGAACUAAACCAUUUUCCGAGUUUCGUCCAACAUUUAUAUUUCGCAGACAGCUCGUUUUGGGUUUCGGGUCGUAUCAAUAACUAAAAGGGAUUCAGCUUUGGUUCUCGCCCGAUUUGCAGCUUUGACUUUUAUUGAAUUUACACGCAGUUUUUGUAGCUGUAAUCGAUUAAUCCAUAUAUCGAUAUAGCUAACAACUCGAUUGACUUUGCUUUAUAAUUCCAAAACUAUUUAGUUUCUCAUCAGUAAAAAACAAAGCAAGUUUCCCAGUGGACAUCGUCAACCAAUAUUCUAUUUAAAAUUUGACUAAGAUAUUGUAAAUAUGAACUAUCCGUUUCAUUCAGUUGUUUUAUCGUGCAUAGUUGUUGCGUACAUUUUGAACAUAGUAUUUCACUGUUUUUACAUUCCAUACUAUUCGCUGCAGUGCAGCGGCUGUGAGAGCUAUGGUAAUAUGAUACGGAAGUGUGUACAGUUACCACGUCGCUGCUUUUAUACCUACAAAGACUGUGUGCCCUUGUGCAGAGAGAGAUGCUAAAUACAAAAUCAUUUAUGGGAUGAAAUGGAACUUGAGAAUAUAUAUGGAAUAUCAAAUAUUUUUGUGCUAUUACUUAAAAUUUCAAAAUAUAUAAUUCAGCAAUGACAAUAAAUGUGAACGCAUAUUAGGGUUCAUAAAAAGAAAUAUAAAA
This is a long non-coding RNA of Drosophila virilis, 1316 nucleotides long. RefSeq lists it as uncharacterized. Lineage: Eukaryota; Metazoa; Arthropoda; Insecta; Diptera; Drosophilidae. The record is from RefSeq and is a predicted model, not a curated record.